CAAUGGUAAGUAGUCACUUUAUAAAUAUAAAAGUUUUAUAUACAGAUUCUCUCCAUCUCUACUUUAGAGCUCACCUGGUCCUCUUCGUGUAGACAGCAUGAAUACGGAACUGAACAACGUUCCCGGCUGAGGUUCUCUGAAGAGCAGUUGAAAUACAUAUUUUGGGACCAGUCCUUGUAUGAGAUACCACCACAGCAGCUGAACUAGCACCGGGGGACAUUGCGACAAAUAUGAAAGAAAAAAAAAAAAUAUCAGACAAGACUAGUUAGACAGGCAUGAAGGUUCUCAUAGUGCGUGAUAUGAAUUCUCUCAUAGUGUGUGAUAUGAAUAAUUGAUUAUCUGGGCAGCAGCCUACUACAAAAUACAGCAACUACUAACAUCAAACUUUAGAAUAAAAUACAAUUUGUACAGAUUACCUGUAAUAAACUAGAAACAUUUCUGCAUUUUUCCUGUAUUUUAUCUGAACCCACAGUGCAGGAAUGGGAACGCAUAAGCACAAAAUGAAUCUUAACUUUGCCAGUAACAGUGUAAAAUGGCCACGUUUCAGGUCAGGAGCCAUAUGUUCAGCCUGCAUAACCAUGCAUGUGACAUGCUUCAUGGCAAUGUACCACUUAAAUACACGUUUACUUUGGAAGAGCCUUUGCCUCACAUGAUG
Molecule: non-coding RNA, 655 nt
Organism: Pelobates cultripes (western spadefoot toad)
Lineage: Eukaryota; Metazoa; Chordata; Amphibia; Anura; Pelobatidae
Source: the annotation of a GenBank genome assembly